GCAUAUCAUAAGCGGAGGAAAAGAAACCAACAGGGAUUGCCCUAGUAACGGCGAGUGAAGCGGCAACAGCUCAAAUUUGAAAUCUGGCUCUUUCAGAGUCCGAGUUGUAAUUUGCAGAGGGCGCUUUGGCUUUGGCAGCGGUCCAAGUUCCUUGGAACAGGACGUCACAGAGGGUGAGAAUCCCGUACGUGGUCGCUAGCUAUUGCCGUGUAAAGCCCCUUCGACGAGUCGAGUUGUUUGGGAAUGCAGCUCUAAAUGGGAGGUAAAUUUCUUCUAAAGCUAAAUAUUGGCCAGAGACCGAUAGCGCACAAGUAGAGUGAUCGAAAGAUGAAAAGCACUUUGGAAAGAGAGUCAAACAGCACGUGAAAUUGUUGAAAGGGAAGCGCUUGCAGCCAGACUUGCUUGCAGUUGCUCAUCCGGGCUUUUGCCCGGUGCACUCUUCUGUAGGCAGGCCAGCAUCAGUUUGGGCGGUGGGAUAAAGGUCUCUGUCACGUACCUCUCUUCGGGGAGGCCUUAUAGGGGAGACGACAUACCACCAGCCUAGACUGAGGUCCGCGCAUCUGCUAGGAUGCUGGCGUAAUGGCUGUAAGCGGCCCGUCUUGAAACACGGACCAAGGAGUCUAACAUCUAUGCGAGUGUUUGGGUGUCAAGCCCGAGCGCGUAAUGAAAGUGAACGGAGGUGGGAACCCGCAAGGGUGCACCAUCGACCGAUCCUGAAGUUUACGGAAGGAUUUGAGUAAGAGCAUGGCUGUUGGGACCCGAAAGAUGGUGAACUAUGCUUGAAUAGGGUGAAGCCAGAGGAAACUCUGGUGGAGGCUCGCAGCGGUUCUGACGUGCAAAUCGAUCGUCAAAUUUGGGCAUAGGGGCGAAAGACUAAUCGAACUAUCUAGUAGCUGGUUCCUGCCGA
RNAcentral lists this ribosomal RNA (907 nucleotides) under Bipolaris cynodontis. Its description in RNAcentral is "LSU rRNA". It matches the Rfam family "Eukaryotic large subunit ribosomal RNA", at positions 38 to 964 of the family's 3401-position model. Lineage: Eukaryota; Fungi; Ascomycota; Dothideomycetes; Pleosporales; Pleosporaceae. The record is from RNAcentral.